This 465-nucleotide ribosomal RNA is filed under the name uncultured bacterium. RNAcentral describes it as "partial 16S ribosomal RNA". It matches the Rfam family "Bacterial small subunit ribosomal RNA", at positions 28 to 507 of the family's 1533-position model. The record is from RNAcentral.
GACGAACGCUGGCGGCGUGCUUAACACAUGCAAGUCGAACGGAAAGGCCCUGCUUGCAGGGUACUCGAGUGGCGAACGGGUGAGUAACACGUGGGUAAUCUGCCCUGCACUUCGGGAUAAGCCUGGGAAACUGGGUCUAAUACCGAAUAGGAGCCAUUUUUAGUGUGAUGGUUGGAAAGUUUUUUCGGUGUAGGAUGAGCUCGCGGCCUAUCAGCUUGUUGGUGGGGUAAUGGCCUACCAAGGCGGCGACGGGUAGCCGGCCUGAGAGGGUGGACGGCGACAUUGGGACUGAGAUACGGCCCAGACUCCUACGGGAGGCAGAAGUGGGGAAUAUUGCACAAUGGGCGCAAGCCUGAUGCAGCGACGCCGCGUGGGGGAUGACGGCCUUCGGGUUGUAAACUCCUUUCGCUAGGGACGAAGCUUUUUGUGACGGUACCUAGAGAAGAAGCACCGGCUAACUACGUG